RNAcentral lists this small nuclear RNA (264 nucleotides) under Erinaceus europaeus (western European hedgehog). Its description in RNAcentral is "7SK RNA". It matches the Rfam family "7SK RNA". From Rfam's summary of the family: 7SK was discovered as an abundant small nuclear RNA in the mid-70s but a possible function has only recently been suggested. Two independent studies have found that 7SK RNA binds the CDK9/cyclin T complex (known as elongation factor P-TEFb). Lineage: Eukaryota; Metazoa; Chordata; Mammalia; Eulipotyphla; Erinaceidae. The record is from Rfam by way of RNAcentral.
GGAUGUGAGGGCGAUCACUUGGUCCCCUUCCUCCCUCACGGCUCCAUGUGUGUCCCUCCCGAAGCUGUGCGCUAGGUGGAAGAGGAUGGCCUUCCCCGAAUACAGACGGACCGGUCUUCGGUUGGCCGAGGAUAUACGAGUAGCAGCACUCCUCUGCUAGAACCUCCAAACAAGCUCUCUAGAAAUGAUAACUCAGUAGAAGACUAGAGAGAUAGCAUAAUAGCUAUGCAAAGACACUUGCAUGCCUGAACCUUAAGGUCCCAG